Molecule: non-coding RNA, 6445 nt
Organism: Paramuricea clavata
Lineage: Eukaryota; Metazoa; Cnidaria; Anthozoa; Malacalcyonacea; Plexauridae
Source: the annotation of a GenBank genome assembly
ACAAAAGUCCAGCAGAUGCGACUGUAACCUACCUUUAAAAUGUUGAAGGGUACGUUUUAUACAUUCACUAAAACUGCUAACCAUGUGCUACUACUACUAGGCUUACAACGAGGUUGCUAUUGGCUUAGUGGCUUACUCAAAUAUUUUAUAUUGUAGUUAGUGCAGAAGACAGUGCUGAAGCAUAUGCUUGUUUUAAGAAGAUGGAUUUGUAUUAUCGUAAAGACGACCCAGGAAAUGUCAACAACGGUAACAUAAGUUUUUCUACACGCUAUUGAAGUGAGACAGGAUUUGGGUAGGAUUUGUGAGUCACGAUCUUUCUCAACGGCCAGAUCAUAACAUGUUUUAUAGCGAUAAACCACAUAUAAAUUUAAUUGUUCUUUAAUGAUUUUUAGUUCUAGACUGUUAUAUUUCGGCUGUUGAGAAAGAUCGUUACGACCAUAUGAAAACCCAUCCUCGUCCCCAGGCCCAAGCUCGGGCAGCCCUCACAAUGGGGGCCGCCCGAGCUUGGACCUGGGGACGAGGAUGAUGGAAAACACGCUUUAGGAUCUAAUCACAUGAGCUUGACUUAUGCGCGAAUCAAAUCGAAACCUUGACAUCCCCCGGGCAUACCUGGGGGGAUUUGUUUGUUUAGUAUUUGAAGAAGGCGGGAAUUUGACUUUUUUUCUAGUUGAAGGUGUUUGAAUUUUUCUUUUAAACACGUGUGCCAAAUCCAAAAUGGCGUCAAUGAAUGAGUUCAAGUGCGAAGGAAUUAACUUUGUCCUUGGUUGGCUAGAAGAAAACGGCUUUGGACGAUCGAAGAGAGUUUUUAAAUGGAAGAAAAACUUUGUAAUUCCAAAAUUACGAAAUGCUGUGGCUUCCAAUUCGUACAUGGGGUGGGGUAUUUGGACUCCAAUUUUUCCCAAUAAGUGGUGUAUUUGAACGGGAAUUACAAAGAUAUGUAGGGAAUUUGACCUGACCAAAACGUCAAAAUCCAAAUUCCCGGGGGGGAUGUCAAGGUUUCGAUUGAUUCGCGCAUUACUGGGAAACCCCCUUUAGUGAAAUCAGCAUGUCCUUGUUAAUAAUGGAUAUGUGAAAAUCAUGGUGCGCUAAUGUGAGAGACGAGCCAUACAUGAGUUAUUUAAACAGGUUUAUAACGGUCGAUAAUCGUUUAAUUGCCGAACAAAAACUCGGAAUGACCGAUUCAUUUUAUUUUCCACGGAUAUUUUGACCGAUUCAAUAAAAUACUGACACUGUUCUCAUUACAGUUAAAAGUAUAUUAUUUGAUUAGCACUGUUCAAAGAACAUGAGUAAGAACACAAAGCAUUUUUUCGCUUCAAUGCGACAAGCAACAAAAUUAUAUCACAAGUAUAUGGUUUAUCAGGGUUCGUACAAAACUUCGUACAAACGUCCUUGAAUUUGAAAACAAAAAUUCAAGGCCUUGAAUUUGUAAAGAAGUACUUGAAAGUCCUUAAAUUUUUCUUGCUUUAGUUUUUGGAUAUUUUCUGAAAUUGUUUGACAUUCAAAACGGCAAUUUUGUUGAAUUGAUUUUGCAUGUUCAUAUCUGAAAAGGCUGUUUGAAACUCAUUAAAGUUGCGUUUUAAAAAAUUCAACGUCAGAUUUUACUGAUUUCUAACCCCAUUCAGUAUUUAGUCCUUGAAUUUGCUGAUACAUAUCCUUGAAAAGUCCUUGAAUUUGACUCUUCCUCACAUGAACGAACUCUGGUUUGUAGAAUAUUCGAAAACAAUAUCCGCAUGGGACUGAAACUUUUCGGUUGCGUAGAUCUUUGGCACCGCUUACCAUGCAAAGUCAUUACACAAGUCAUGUGAUUGAUCAUGCGGGAAUUGAUCAGAACUAGCUAUCAAAUAAUGUAAAUAUUGAAAACCUGACCGACCAGUAUUAUAGCCAUGCAUGCAAUGUCCGAGCGACUGCAAAUUUGACUGGACCUUUGUUAGACUCAAUAUAUAGAGAAUAAUACAUGGGUGCGCGAAAAUACCAGAUCUAUUUCGAGUGUUGAACAUGAUAUCUCACGAGUGAGAUAUCAUGUUCAACACGAGAAAUAAAUCUGGUAUUUCCAAGCACCCAUGUAUUUUUCUGUUUAUUGUACAAACAAAAUUGAGUGAAAACAAUAAAACGUCCGUGGCAAUGCGUUUUACAACAAAUGAUAUUUUCACACGUAAAAAUAUCGUAUUUUUUGCGUGUGUUUAAAUACGAUUUUUCUCAGUGGCCAAAAACUCUAUAUAACACUUAUGUUUAUAUAAUAAAAAAUCAUUAUCCAGUAUUAUACAAUUACUUUAUGUUUUCCGUGUUUGGAUGGCCUGAUCCAAACACGCGGGAAUGUUGCGAGAGUUACGAAAAGCGCGCGAAACACGAGCCGAAGGCGAGUGAUUUUGCGCGCUUUUCUUAACCCGAGCAACAUUCCCAAGUGUUUGGAUCAGGCCAUCCAAACACGGAAACCAUAAAGUAAUUGUUUUAUAAAAUAACAACAACACGAUAGUAUCGUAUUUUUUGCGUGUGUUUAAAUACGAUUUUUCUCAGUGGCCAAAAACUCUAUAUAACACUUAUGUUUAUAUAAUAAAAAAUCAUUAUCCAGUAUUAUACAAUUACUUUAUGUUUUCCGUGUUUGGAUGGCCUGAUCCAAACACGCGGGAAUGUUGCGAGGUGUCGACCAAUCAGAGCAAGUGUUAUAUACAUGUUAUUUUAUAAUUGUAAAUCUCAAUGACGUCACGAAGCGGUAAAUUGCAUGCUGUAAAAGUGAAAAUGUUUAUCGAGAUGGGAGAAAAUGUUCCAUUAAAACUAAACUUUUAUUCUGGCCAAAAUAUUACGACGAAGUUCUACACCAUACGGUAAAAACAUUAAUUAUGGAUGUUUCUAAAAAAGAUCAGAAUUUACAUUCUUUAUGUAUUUUAAUUUUAAUUUGCAUUUAAUUUUUAGACUCGCUCGAGUGUGGGAGGUAAGAAUGAAAUAUUGUAGAAACGUUUUUACAGAAACACACUGUUUGAAAAACGCGUGUGGGUUUCAGAAACAUUGCCAAAUUUGGCUAUUUAGAUAACUUGCAUGCUUAGUUACUUCCGCCGUUUGUUUGUGUGUGUGUGUGUGUGUGUGUGUGUGUGUGUGUGUGUGUGUGUGUGUGUGUGUGUGUGUGUCUGUCAGCACGAUAACUCGAAAACUAUCAAACGUAUCAGUAAUACGAAAAUUUGCGGUGGAAUUAUUAGACAUUGCCCAAGGCCAAAUUGAUUAAAUUUUGAUUCAAUUGUAGUGAAAAGUGGAUGAGAAAUUGGCAAAAGUUUGCCGGGCAUGAUGUAAAGUCCGUAAUGUAAACAAACGCUUUGUUUACAUUUUGAACUCAGUGCUACAGUUGUAAUAUAUAUAUAUAUAUAUUAUAAAUUAGAUAUAUAUAUAUAAUUAGAUAUAUAUUAUACUGAAUUUUUAACACUCUUGUGGUUCGCUAUGCUUGUAAAUCAAUACGGACUAGAGAUUCAAUUCAAGAAAGUUCGGAAGGUGCGAAAUAUUAACAACAUUCCAGUGGUCGUGUUCCGACCAUUGGAAUGUAGGCCAUGCGCAGAACGUACGCGUAGAACGGACUUUACAUCACCUUUAACUUUAUUCGCUGGCGGAAAUAUGCAGCCCCCGUACGUGUGCCCUCUAAUAUAGGGCUUUGGUGGCGCAGUCGUCAGUGCAAGCUCUUUUCACCUCUGAGUUCGUGGGUUCAAUUCUCUCUAUGGACUCAUGUGAAAAGAUUCAGUCAACGCUCUGCCGAAAGUCGUUAGGGGUGCACCGGAACUCGGUUCCGGCCGGUUAGUUCCGGCCGGAACCCCGAUUUUUUAGAGUUCCGGUUCCGGCCGGAACUAGUAAAAAAAGCAUGGCCGGAACCGGAACUCUGUUGUUUUCAGAGAGAUAGAAUAUCAAACGUUUUUGUGUCUAACGAAAGGUCACAGUAGGAAGAAAUUUGGACUACGCAAGGGAAAUGUACACCAUUAACACUUCAUUGUGACGUUUAACGCUUGUCAAUCUUUUUAUUCUAAUAUUUGCGAGCUCUCUCCUUGAUGACUUGAAGUGUCUGCCUGUCUGGCAGCGGACAAAGUAACAUAUGACAAUAUAUGGCUUAAUAAAUUAGUUCCGGUUCCGGCCGGAACUUCCGGCCGGAACUUUUUUCCAGUUCCGGUUGGAUCCGGUUCCGGCCGGAACUUAAAAAACUGGUUCCGGUGCACCCCUAAAAGUCGUGGGUUUUCUUCGGGCGCUCCGGUUUCCUUCCACAGGGAAAGUUGACAGGGUGGGUUAGAAUAAACACAGUGUCAGUUAGGAAAGUUAUAUCUCAAUUGUUGUAAAGAUAAAUAAUCUAGGUCAAGUAAGUAACAUGAGCGUAAUACUUGAUGUAAUUGGUCACUGAAAAGCCCCAAUGGGGAGUCAAGAGGGAAGAGCCUGGGUACGAGGUUGAUGGGGAGUGUGCUGAAUAAUAGUGUAAUGUAAUGUAAUGUAGUUACUCGUAAUAUCGAGACAUAUUACGAGACAUAUUAAUGUAGUUACUCGUAAAUUCUCGAUGUUACACUUAAUCUCGUCCAGUAAUUAUUGAAUAUCUGAUUAUUGACGGGAAUAUACAAAAGACGUUUUAUAUAUUUAGUCUAUGUUCUUAAGUACUAACUUCCUUCCACUCUAUAGAUCUUACAAUUCCUCUCUGGUGAAAAAUACAAAUUUAUUGCUGGUUAUCGUCAAAGUUCAAAACAGCUCUUUAACCUCUUUUUGCGAUAAAAAGUUGACUACUGCGGAAGAAGAUAUCCUUUUUUAUACUGCAGAGAUACAGUAGAUACUUUUUACUUGAGGAUGUAUAUAUUUUAGAAACGAAACUAUAGGUAUAAUGAUUAUCAAUGUUUACUCCAUCAAUUCAUAGUUCAUUUGCAUUUGCAAAAUAUUUAAAAAGGCAACCGCUUUAGGUGGGUCAGGUUAACUUGUAUUCCAGCCACUACACCGCUGUGUGUGGACCAGCCUAGUUCCUAGGCCUCUUAAUACGCCUUAGUACGCGUUCUCAUUAAAGGUUCGGUCACACGGAGCGACAAGUCGCAGGGGCAUGUUGCAGGGACAUGUCGCCCGAAACGAGUCACACGAAGCGACAACGCUAGGCGAAAACAAGUCGCACAAGCGCUUACAGGCGCGUGGUCACACGAGGCGACAAUUCAUGCGACAAGUCAAAGAACUCCCAUGAGGACUUAUAUUGAAAUUGAGCGUGCAAGUAGUCAUGGGAAUGAUAUUUUGUGAUUGGUCGGACUAAUUAUUUCCCCGCGACUUGUGAACAGACUAGCUCACACGAUGCAACAAGUCGCGGCAACGGUUUUUGUCCCCGCGACACGUCGCAUGAAAUCAAAUCAAUUUGAUUUCAUGCGACAUGUCGCGGGGACAAUUUUUUGUCCCCGCGACAACGCUUACACAUGUGACACACGAUGAAAUUCGACCCCGCGACAUGUCCCUGCAACAUGCCCCUGCGACUUGUCGCUCCGUGUGACCGAACCUUAAGAGGCAAUUUGCAGUGAAAAGUGUUCAAAACCUAAAAUCUUUUUGGCGUUCCUUUCAAAAUUACUUUGUUUUAGCUUUAUUUAAUAGUUUAUAGAGUUAGCUACCUUCUUAAAUGCAUCUGCCGGUUGAGAAACAUAAAAUAAAAGUUAAAAAUUGUCAAUUAAGAUACAAUUAUGAAUGACGCUUUAAAAUUGACGCCAUAUUUACAGCCAUAUAAGCAAACUUACUGAACUUCAGACAUCAUUUUCUCUUUGGCGUACCAACUAAAAUCUUUUCAUUUUAGCAUUAUUUUACAGAUAAAGCACUAAACAUACUUUUUAAGUUUGUUUGCCGAUUGAGAAACGUAUCGAAAAAUAAAAAUUUUGAGUUUAGUCAUAACAGCAAGUGGUAUAUUACACUCAUUAGUUUUGAGCGCGUAUUACAUAACAUACAAAAAAAUCUCCUCUUAAUAUGCUGGCGGUUAUUUCAUUCGGUGACUUCACGGGUUAGUAAAAGGCGUUGCACAGAGGACUAGGGACUAGUCUGUGUGUGGACUGUGCAAUAAUCCUGUGAAUAAUCUCAAAUUUCUCGUCCAAUGAUUUCCAGCACAAAGUUGAGAAAAUUUAUGCAUGACCCAGCAGAUACUCUCAGAAGCAUGGCAGCCAAACGAGUUGACCUGAGAAUACCUGGAGGAUAUGGACAAAUAUAUUAUAUAUUGAAAUUAAUCCUGUUCCCAACUAACUAAACAAACUAAUGUUUAGUUAUUGGCAGAACAUAAUUUUACUUACUCAACAGAAAUUCGACAAAAGUCCAAUCUAGUUUAACGUACAACAUUCGUUAUAGUUGCAUUUUCUUAGUUAUUUUGUAUGGAAACGUUGCUAUCCUUGACCAUAAUUACUUAAUUUUGAAGGAUCAUGUGAUCCAGAUGACAAUUAUCGGGUUCCUGCAGUUACCUAUGGCGAAUGUGUUCCAAAUGACACGG